GUGAGGAAUAUUGCGCAAUGGAGGCAACUCUGACGCAGCCAUGCCGCGUGCAGGAAGAAGGCGCUACGCGUUGUAAACUGCUUUUAACCGGGAAGAAACCCCAGGACGUGUCCUGGGUUGACGGUACCGGAGGAAUAAGCACCGGCUAACUUCGUGCCAGCAGCCGCGGUAAUACGAAGGGUGCAAGCGUUAUCCGGAUUCAUUGGGUUUAAAGGGUGCGUAGGCGGAGCGUUAAGUCAGGGGUGAAAUCCUGCAGCUUAACUGUAGACUUGCCAUUGAUACUGGCGCUCUUGAGUGCGCUUGAAGUGGGCGGAAUGUGCCGUGUAGCGGUGAAAUGCUUAGAUAUGGCACAGAACACCAAUUGCGAAGGCAGCUCACUAAGGCGAUACUGACGCUGAGGCACGAAAGCGUGGGGAUCGAACAGGAUUAGAUACCCCUGUAGUCC
This 445-nucleotide ribosomal RNA is filed under the name uncultured bacterium. RNAcentral describes it as "partial 16S ribosomal RNA". It matches the Rfam family "Bacterial small subunit ribosomal RNA", at positions 354 to 796 of the family's 1533-position model. The record is from RNAcentral.